CGAAGCUACGGGCUUGCGAAAGCAAGCGGUAGGGGAGCGUCGUAAUCGGGCUGAAGUCGUACCGUAAGGAGCGGUGGACUGAUUACGAGUGAGAAUGUUGGCAUUAGUAGCGAGAUGUAGGUGAGAAUCCUACAGGCCGAAUAUCUAAGGUUUCCUCAGGAAGGCUCGUCCGCUGAGGGUUAGUCGGGACCUAAGCCGAGGCCGAAAGGCGUAGGCGAUGGACAAUCGGUUGAUAUUCCGAUACCACUACCAUCGUUAAUAUCGAGGGUGUGACGGAGAAGGAUAGUGUGUGCUAGCGAUUGGAAAUGCUAGUCUAAGCGUUUAGGGAGUUACGGUAGGCAAAUCCGCUGUAACAAUUCUGAGGCGUGAUGGGGAAGGCCAUAUAGGCCGAAGUACAUGAUUCCAUGCUUCCAAGAAAAGCAUCUAGAGAGAGAAGUAGUGCCCGUACCGCAAACCGACACAGGUAGAUGAGGAGAGAAUCCUAAGGCCGGCGGAAGAAUUGCAGUUAAGGAACUAGGCAAAUUGACCCCGUAAGUUCGCGAGAAGGGGUGCCUGCGAGAGCAGGCCGCAGAGAAUAGGCCCAAGCAACUGUUUAGCAAAAACACAGGUCUCUGCUAAAGCGUAAGCUGAUGUAUAGGGGCUGACGCCUGCCCGGUGCUGGAAGGUUAAGGGGAACACUUAGCGCAAGCGAAGGUGUGAACUUAAGCCCCAGUAAACGGCGGCCGUAACUAUAACGGUCCUAAGGUAGCGAAAUUCCUUGUCAGGUAAGUUCUGACCCGCACGAAUGGCGUAAUGACUUGGGCACUGUCUCAACUGCAAAUCCGGCGAAGUUGUAGUGCGAGUGAAGAUGCUCGCUACCCGCGAUUGGACGGAAAGACCCCGUAGAGCUUUACUGCAGCUUAGCAUUGAAUUCCGGUAUUGUCUGUACAGGAUAGGUGGGAGACUGGGAAACUAGGGCGUCAGCCUUAGUGGAGUCAACCUUGGGAUACCACCCUGACAGUACUGGGGUUCUAACAGGACGCCAUGAAACUGGUGACUGGACAUUGUUAGGUGGGCAGUUUGACUGGGGCGGUCGCCUCCUAAAAAGUAACGGAGGCGCCCAAAGGUUCCCUCAGAACGGUCGGAAAUCGUUCGUAGAGUGCAAAGGCAGAAGGGAGCCUGACUGCGAGACAUACAAGUCGAGCAGGGACGAAAGUCGGGCUUAGUGAUCCGGUGGUACCUCGUGGGAGGGCCAUCGCUCAACGGAUAAAAGCUACCUCGGGGAUAACAGGCUGAUCUCCCCCAAGAGUCCACAUCGACGGGGAGGUUUGGCAC
This 1314-nucleotide ribosomal RNA is filed under the name human gut metagenome. RNAcentral describes it as "bacterial LSU rRNA". It matches the Rfam family "Bacterial large subunit ribosomal RNA", at positions 1195 to 2524 of the family's 2925-position model. The record is from RNAcentral.